AUUGUGACUCGUUUGAGCUCUUAGCCAGGCGUGUAGUCUGGCGGGAGCCGUCGCGGCUGGCUCGGCAGCUCCAGGCUAUUCCGAGGAACAGUCUUCAGAGAGCCUGGGGUGCUGAUGGGGAAAAGCUGUUGCUGAGAUUUGACAAGUUUGGUCCUGAGAUGUCAGAAAGGAUUUCAGCUCUUCUGCCACCCCAAGGACGGUGGCGCGUAAAUCACAAGGCAUGCAAGCAGGACACUUUCACAUAUGCAUUCAAGAUGACCUAUGCAAGGCGUUGUGCUAAGUGCUAGGAGUGCAGAGGAGAACGAGACCCAGUGGGGAAACAGGCACUUGCAAUGCUGCUAGGACAAUGAAUCCAGGCAGUGAUCCACCAAUGAUAACUAACAUCAUAAAAAGAUACAUGGCCGGAUAUGAUGUUCCUUCUGACGGAAGACCACAACACCUGCUGAAAAAUCAAAUCUGAAUCGGAUCAAGCCUCUAGAGGAGGCAGCACCCAGGGUCAUUCCUGGAGCAUAAACGAUCCCUGCAGAACAUGGGCUAGAAGACCCCACAGUGGGGCAGAGGCAGGUCCUGGACUGGGAUCCCAGCAGUGAGAAGACCUGGACAUCAACCCUAUUUCAUUGUGCCUCUGCAAAUCUCCCAACUUUUGGAGCUGUAGCUGCAAGCUCAGACUUGUGGUUUCCUGUACCUGGAGGAGGCCCAGGUCAUUCUGUUAAGUCCCUUGUCUAUUUCCUGCUUUUAUCUGGAUGCUGAGUUAAUUAUUUGAUCCAACAAUAAAACUAACAAGGUUUUA
Molecule: long non-coding RNA, 790 nt
Organism: Homo sapiens (human)
Lineage: Eukaryota; Metazoa; Chordata; Mammalia; Primates; Hominidae
Product: long intergenic non-protein coding RNA 642
Source: Ensembl